Molecule: ribosomal RNA, 434 nt
Filed under: uncultured bacterium
Lineage: Bacteria
Description: partial 16S ribosomal RNA
Rfam family: Bacterial small subunit ribosomal RNA
Source: RNAcentral
ACGGAAGGCAGCAGUGGGGGAUAUUGCACAAUGGGGGAAACCCUGAUGCAGCGACGCCGCGUGAGUGAAGAAGUAUUUCGGUAUGUAAAGCUCUAUCAGCAGGGAAGAUAAUGACGGUACCUGACUAAGAAGCACCGGCUAAAUACGUGCCAGCAGCCGCGGUAAUACGUAUGGUGCAAGCGUUAUCCGGAUUUACUGGGUGUAAAGGGAGCGCAGACGGCAUAGCAAGCCAGAUGUGAAAGGUGGGGGCUCAACCCCCAAACUGCAUUUGGAACUGUUAAGCUAGAGUGUCGGAGAGGUAAGUGGAAUUCCUAGUGUAGCGGUGAAAUGCGUAGAUAUUAGGAGGAACACCAGUGGCGAAGGCGGCUUACUGGACUGUAACUGACGUUGAGGCUCGAAAGCGUGGGGAGCAAACAGGAUUAGAUACCCUGGUA